AUGAAAAAAGAAAAAAAGCCAAGGACUCGUAAUUUGGUUGUUAUUGCUAGUAAUAGACAAAGAAAGUUUCUAAGUCCUAACCACAUGACUUCACAUCACAAUAACUCAACAAUUGCAAUAAAAUUUAAUUGUUUUAAACACAAACUAACAAUUGAUGUGUUAGUAAAAGGCCUCUUAUCACUAGGACUUAUGUCAGAAAGAAGCAUAUAA
Molecule: non-coding RNA, 210 nt
Organism: Vicia faba (fava bean)
Lineage: Eukaryota; Viridiplantae; Streptophyta; Magnoliopsida; Fabales; Fabaceae
Source: the annotation of a GenBank genome assembly